CCUACGGGAGGCAGCAGUGAGGAAUAUUGGUCAAUGGCCGUAAGGCUGAACCAGCCAAGUAGCGUGAGGGAAGACUGCCCUAUGGGUUGUAAACCUCUUUUGUCGGGGAGCAAAAGACGCCACGUGUGGCGGUCAGAGAGUACCCGAAGAAAAAGCAUCGGCUAACUCCGUGCCAGCAGCCGCGGUAAUACUGAGGAUGCGAGCGUUAUCCGGAUUUAUUGGGUUUAAAGGGUGCGCAGGCGGAAGAUUAAGUCAGCGGUAAAAUUGAGAGGCUCAACCACUUCGAGCCGUUGAAACUGGGUUUCUUGAGUGAGCGAGAAGUAUGCGGAAUGCGUGGUGUAGCGGUGCAAUGCAUAGAUAUCACGCAGAACUCCGAUUGCGAAGGCAGCAUACCGGCGCUCAACUGACGCUCAUGCACGAAAGUGUGGGUAUCGAACAGGAUUAGAUACCCUGGUAGUC
This 459-nucleotide ribosomal RNA is filed under the name uncultured bacterium. RNAcentral describes it as "partial 16S ribosomal RNA". It matches the Rfam family "Bacterial small subunit ribosomal RNA", at positions 338 to 795 of the family's 1533-position model. The record is from RNAcentral.